GGAUAGCUCAGUUGGAUAGAGCAUGGUGCUGAUAAUACAAAGGUUGCAGGUUUGAUCCCCGUAUGAGACA
This 70-nucleotide transfer RNA is filed under the name Podarcis lilfordi (Lilford's wall lizard). Its description in RNAcentral is "tRNA.Undet". The record is from RNAcentral. Lineage: Eukaryota; Metazoa; Chordata; Lepidosauria; Squamata; Lacertidae.